GACGAACGCUGGCGGCGUGCUUAACACAUGCAAGUCGAACGGGUCUGCCCUGUUUUUUGCGGGGUGGGUCAGUGGCGAACGGGUGAGUAACACGUGAGUAACCUGCCCCUCACUUCUGGAUAACCGCUUGAAAGGGUGGCUAAUACGGGGUGUUCUGGCUGUGCCGCAUGGUGUGGCUGGGAAAGAUUCACUUUUGUGGUGUUUUGGUGGGGGAUGGGCUCGCGGCCUAUCAGCUUGUUGGUGGGGUGAUGGCCUGCCAAGGCUUUGACGGGUAGCCGGACUGAGAGGGUGGGCGGUCACACUGGGACUGAGAUACGGCCCAGACUCCUGCGGGAGGCAGCAGUGGGGGGUAUUGCACAAUGGGCGGAAGCCUGAUGCAGCGACGUCGCGUGAGGGAUGGAGGCCUUCGGGUUGUGAACCUCUUUCGCCGGUGAAGAAGGUCCUGCUCUUUGUGGUGGGGUUGACGGUAGCCGGGUUAUGAAGCGCCGGCUAACUACGUG
Molecule: ribosomal RNA, 500 nt
Filed under: uncultured bacterium
Lineage: Bacteria
Description: partial 16S ribosomal RNA
Rfam family: Bacterial small subunit ribosomal RNA
Source: RNAcentral